RNAcentral lists this small RNA (740 nucleotides) under Pongo abelii (Sumatran orangutan). RNAcentral describes it as "retained intron". Lineage: Eukaryota; Metazoa; Chordata; Mammalia; Primates; Hominidae. The record is from RNAcentral.
UCAGACAGCCUAAUUGAUGGCUUUGCUGACCUAACAAUACCUUGUGAAAGCCGAGUGCUAGAGCCUGGUCUCCAUUUAUGACCAGCUGCAAGGGGAAGCUGGGUCUCCCUAUCACGGGGAGUCUAGGGAAAGGGGGAAAGUCUUCCAGCCUGUGAACUUUAACCAGAUUCCUACUUGUGCAAGAAGCAGAAGCACAAUUUGAAAUUAAUAGAAGCUUUCUCAUGGAGAACUUUUUUCCCUCCCUGAGCUCUUCUAGCAAGUUGUCUUGGAGUUGACUACACAGUGACGAUGGAGAUUACCCAGUCAACUAUUUUUGAACACUGAAAGGGAAAAUCAACUUUAAGUUGAAAAGAUAAUUUUCGGAAGAGAUUCGACUGUAUUUUGUGCUCCUCAGCAUUCAUGCAAAGGUGUUCGCAGAGUACAGAAACGGAGUUUGAUGACUGGACUUCUCUGUUCUGUUUCAGGUUUAUUAAUGCCAGAAGAAGAAUAGUACAGCCCAUGAUUGACCAGUCAAAUCGAGCAGGUUUUCUUCUUGAUCCUUCAGUGAGCCAAGGAGCAGCAUAUAGUCCAGAGGGUCAGCCCAUGGGGAGCUUUGUGUUGGAUGGUCAGCAACACAUGGGGAUCCGGCCUGCAGGACCUAUGAGUGGAAUGGGCAUGAAUAUGGGCAUGGAUGGGCAAUGGCACUACAUGUAACCUUCAUCAUGUAAAGCAAUCGCAAAGCAAGGGGGAAGUAAGUACAG